This is a non-coding RNA of Xylariaceae sp. FL1272, 150 nucleotides long. NCBI's taxonomy places the organism in Eukaryota, Fungi, Ascomycota, Sordariomycetes, Xylariales, Xylariaceae. The record is from the annotation of a GenBank genome assembly.
GUCCUGGUAGUUUAAUGGCAGAACGGCGCCGUGCGGGGUAUAAUUCUUCCUCAGCUCUGUGCUGCCAGUCCGACCGGUUCACAGCCGGGAGGAUACCACUAGAGGAGGUUCGUCGGAGCGCAGAUCUAGGUUCGAGUCCUAGCCAGGAUG